RNAcentral lists this ribosomal RNA (253 nucleotides) under uncultured bacterium. RNAcentral's name for it is "partial 16S ribosomal RNA". It matches the Rfam family "Bacterial small subunit ribosomal RNA", at positions 524 to 776 of the family's 1533-position model. The record is from RNAcentral.
UACGGAGGGUGCGAGCGUUGUCCGGAAUUACUGGGCGUAAAGGGCGCGUAGGCGGAUAGUUUAGUCAGAGGUGAAAGCCCAGGGCUCAACCUUGGAAUUGCCUUUGAUACUGGCUGUCUUGAGUUCGGGAGAGGUGAGUGGAAUGCCGAGUGUAGAGGUGAAAUUCGUAGAUAUUCGGCGGAACACCAGUGGCGAAGGCGACUCACUGGCCCGAUACUGACGCUGAGGCGCGAAAGCGUGGGGAGCAAACAGG